Molecule: ribosomal RNA, 500 nt
Filed under: uncultured bacterium
Lineage: Bacteria
Description: bacterial SSU rRNA
Rfam family: Bacterial small subunit ribosomal RNA
Source: RNAcentral
AGAGUUUGAUCAUGGCUCAGGAUGAACGCUGGCGGCGUGCUUAACACAUGCAAGUCGAACGGAGUAUAUUUAAAAGCUUGCUUUGUUAUACUUAGUGGCGGACGGGUGAGUAACGCGUGGGUAACCUGCCUUAUACCGGGGGACAACAGUUGGAAACGACUGCUAAUACCGCAUAAGCGCACAGUCUCGCAUGAGACAGUGUGAAAAACUCCGGUGGUAUAAGAUGGACCCGCGUCUGAUUAGCCAGUUGGCGGUGUAACGGACCACCAAAGCGACGAUCAGUAGCCGGCCUGAGAGGGUGAACGGCCACAUUGGGACUGAGACACGGCCCAAACUCCUACGGGAGGCAGCAGUGGGGAAUAUUGCACAAUGGAGGAAACUCUGAUGCAAGCGACGCCGCGUGAGUGAAGAAGUAUUUCGGUAUGUAAAGCUCUAUCAGCAGGAAAGAAAAUGACGGUACCUGACUAAGAAGCCCCGGCUAACUACGUGCCAGCCGCAGC